GGGUUGUGAGGUUAAGCGACUAAGCGUACACGGUGGAUGCCCUGGCAGUCAGAGGCGAUGAAGGGCGUGCUAAUCUGCGAUAAGCGCCGGUAAGGUGAUAUGAACCGUUAUAACCGGCGAUACCCGAAUGGGGAAACCCAGUGUGACUCGUCACACUAUCAUUAACUGAAUCCAUAGGUUAAUGAGGCGAACCGGGGGAACUGAAACAUCUAAGUACCCCGAGGAAAAGAAAUCAACCGAGAUUCCCCCAGUAGCGGCGAGCGAACGGGGAGGAGCCCAGAGCCUGAAUCAGCAUGUGUGUUAGUGGAAGCGUCUGGAAAGGCGCGCGAUACAGGGUGACAGCCCCGUACACAAAAGCGCAUGUGCUGUGAGCUCGAUGAGUAGGGCGGGACACGUGGUAUCCUGUCUGAAUAUGGGGGGACCAUCCUCCAAGGCUAAAUACUCCUGACUGACCGAUAGUGAACCAGUACCGUGAGGGAAAGGCGAAAAGAACCCCGGCGAGGGGAGUGAAAAAGAACCUGAAACCGUGUACGUACAAGCAGUGGGAGCACCCUUUGGGGUGUGACUGCGUACCUUUUGUAUAAUGGGUCAGCGACUUAUAUUCUGUAGCAAGGUUAACCGUAUAGGGGAGCCGGAGGGAAACCGAGUCUUAACCGGGCGUUAAGUUGCAGGGUAUAGACCCGAAACCCGGUGAUCUAGCCAUGGGCAGGUUGAAGGUUGG
RNAcentral lists this ribosomal RNA (721 nucleotides) under Salmonella enterica subsp. enterica. Its description in RNAcentral is "partial 23S ribosomal RNA". It matches the Rfam family "Bacterial large subunit ribosomal RNA", at positions 1 to 755 of the family's 2925-position model. The record is from RNAcentral. Lineage: Bacteria; Pseudomonadati; Pseudomonadota; Gammaproteobacteria; Enterobacterales; Enterobacteriaceae.